GGCUAUACAUGCAGUCGAACGAACUUCCGUUAAUUGAUUAUGACGUACUUGUACUGAUUGAGAUUUUAACACGAAGUGAGUGGCGAACGGGUGAGUAACACGUGGGUAACCUGCCCAGAAGUAGGGGAUAACACCUGGAAACAGAUGCUAAUACCGUAUAACAGAGAAAACCGCAUGGUUUUCUUUUAAAAGAUGGCUCUGCUAUCACUUCUGGAUGGACCCGCGGCGUAUUAGCUAGUUGGUGAGGUAAAGGCUCACCAAGGCAGUGAUACGUAGCCGACCUGAGAGGGUAAUCGGCCACAUUGGGACUGAGACACGGCCCAGACUCCUACGGGAGGCAGCAGUAGGGAAUCUUCCACAAUGGACGCAAGUCUGAUGGAGCAACGCCGCGUGAGUGAAGAAGGGUUUCGGCUCGUAAAGCUCUGUUGUUAAAGAAGAACGUGGGUAAGAGUAACUGUUUACCCAGUGACGGUAUUUAACCAGAAAGCCACGGCUAACUACGUGCCAGCAGCCGCGGUAAUACGUAGGUGGCAAGCGUUAUCCGGAUUUAUUGGGCGUAAAGCGAGCGCAGGCGGUCUUUUAAGUCUAAUGUGAAAGCCUUCGGCUCAACCGAAGAAGUGCAUUGGAAACUGGGAGACUUGAGUGCAGAAGAGGACAGUGGAACUCCAUGUGUAGCGGUGAAAUGCGUAGAUAUAUGGAAGAACACCAGUGGCGAAGGCGGCUGUCUGGUCUGCAACUGACGCUGAGGCUCGAAAGCAUGGGUAGCGAACAGGAUUAGAUACCCUGGUAGUCCAUGCCGUAAACGAUGAUUACUAAGUGUUGGAGGGUUUCCGCCCUUCAGUGCUGCAGCUAACGCAUUAAGUAAUCCGCCUGGGGAGUACGACCGCAAGGUUGAAACUCAAAAGAAUUGACGGGGGCCCGCACAAGCGGUGGAGCAUGUGGUUUAAUUCGAAGCUACGCGAAGAACCUUACCAGGUCUUGACAUCUUCUGACAGUCUAAGAGAUUAGAGGUUCCCUUCGGGGACAGAAUGACAGGUGGUGCAUGGUUGUCGUCAGCUCGUGUCGUGAGAUGUUGGGUUAAGUCCCGCAACGAGCGCAACCCUUAUUACUAGUUGCCAGCAUUAAGUUGGGCACUCUAGUGAGACUGCCGGNGACAAACCGGAGGAAGGUGGGGANAANNUCNAAUCAUCAGGCCCCU
This 1198-nucleotide ribosomal RNA is filed under the name Pediococcus pentosaceus. RNAcentral's name for it is "bacterial SSU rRNA". It matches the Rfam family "Bacterial small subunit ribosomal RNA", at positions 45 to 1202 of the family's 1533-position model. Lineage: Bacteria; Bacillati; Bacillota; Bacilli; Lactobacillales; Lactobacillaceae. The record is from RNAcentral.